UAUAUAUUUUCUCGCUUUUUCAAAAGAUGUGGUCAAAGAAAGAACAAUCACUGUCCCAAAAGAAAAAAAUGAUAAAGAAAUAAAAAUGAGAAAGGAAAGCUUCUUGCUCCUUACAAUUGGUUUAGGGAAGAACAGAACCCAACUUAUAAUUUUAUAGAGCACCUUAUGAUGCACCUUUUCCUAAAAAGUAAAAAUUUUAAUUUUGAUAUGCUUUGGAAUAUAUUUUUUAAGCUUGGAAAACCCAUUAUAAAUACAAAUGAAUUUACCAUAUGAAGUUCAGCCCUUUCUAAAACCAAACCUUCUUCUUCAGUCAAAACUCUCUACUCUUUACUUCUCUUCUCUGCCAUUUCUUUUCUCCUAAGAAUAAUUUUCUGCUGUGUGAUCUUAGAUUUUAGUAAUUUCUAUUGGGUAAGGAUAAGGUAAUCUGCAUCCUGAGGUUUAGAUCAGAAUUAUGAAUUCGAAAAAAUGGGUUUUCUUUUCUAGCCCUCGGGUCGCAGAUUACCUCUUCCUUGCUGACAAUGUUGGAUUUGUCUAUCAGAUUAUCACAACUCUUCUUCAAGUCUCUUCGACACUUUUGAAGCAGUCUCUUCCGUCCUUAAAGACGAGAAACUCCAUCGUGUCCACAUGGAAGAAGAUGUAACUCCCACAUAGAUGUGUAAUGCAACCUCCAAACGCUUUGCCCGCCACACAAUGCCAUGCUGGGCCAUAAGCUUCAUCAAACCUCUAUUGAUCAAAGCACAAAGUCGUAUAACUAUGCAAUUUAAUAUAAGACAGUAUAUUGUAAUCUUUCAUUAACGUGUCACGGGUCGGUCCACUUUUUAGUAUGUAAUUGAUAUCUAGCACCUUUUUCUCAUUAUCAUACUGAGAUUGUUAAUAGACCAGCAAAAAGGAAGAAAUGAUGAACAUGGGAACUUCCUGAGUUAUUUCAUUCAAAACGAUGUCCCUUUACUCUUCAGACAAAUCGAUUCAAACAUGAUCCACA
Long non-coding RNA from Cucumis sativus (cucumber), 982 nucleotides. RefSeq lists it as uncharacterized. NCBI's taxonomy places the organism in Eukaryota, Viridiplantae, Streptophyta, Magnoliopsida, Cucurbitales, Cucurbitaceae. The transcript has 2 exons. The record is from RefSeq and is a predicted model, not a curated record.